GAUGAACGCUGGCGGCGUGCCUAAUACAUGCAAGUCGAGCGAACAGACGAGGAGCUUGCUCCUCUGACGUUAGCGGCGGACGGGUGAGUAACACGUGGAUAACCUACCUAUAAGACUGGGAUAACUUCGGGAAACCGGAGCUAAUACCGGAUAAUAUAUUGAGCCGCAUGGUUCAAUAGUGAAAGACGGUUUUGCUGUCACUUAUAGAUGGAUCCGCGCCGCAUUAGCUAGUUGGUAAGGUAACGGCUUACCAAGGCAACGAUGCGUAGCCGACCUGAGAGGGUGAUCGGCCACACUGGAACUGAGACACGGUCCAGACUCCUACGGGAGGCAGCAGUAGGGAAUCUUCCGCAAUGGGCGAAAGCCUGACGGAGCAACGCCGCGUGAGUGAUGAAGGUCUUCGGAUCGUAAAACUCUGUUAUUAGGGAAGAACAAAUGUGUAAGUAACUAUGCACGUCUUGACGGUACCUAAUCAGAAAGCCACGGCUAACUAC
Molecule: ribosomal RNA, 494 nt
Filed under: uncultured bacterium
Lineage: Bacteria
Description: partial 16S ribosomal RNA
Rfam family: Bacterial small subunit ribosomal RNA
Source: RNAcentral